Molecule: ribosomal RNA, 414 nt
Filed under: Escherichia coli
Lineage: Bacteria; Pseudomonadati; Pseudomonadota; Gammaproteobacteria; Enterobacterales; Enterobacteriaceae
Description: bacterial SSU rRNA
Rfam family: Bacterial small subunit ribosomal RNA
Source: RNAcentral
CUAGCUGGUCUGAGAGGAUGACCAGCCACACUGGAACUGAGACACGGUCCAGACUCCUACGGGAGGCAGCAGUGGGGAAUAUUGCACAAUGGGCGCAAGCCUGAUGCAGCCAUGCCGCGUGUAUGAAGAAGGCCUUCGGGUUGUAAAGUACUUUCAGCGGGGAGGAAGGGAGUAAAGUUAAUACCUUUGCUCAUUGACGUUACCCGCAGAAGAAGCACCGGCUAACUCCGUGCCAGCAGCCGCGGUAAUACGGAGGGUGCAAGCGUUAAUCGGAAUUACUGGGCGUAAAGCGCACGCAGGCGGUUUGUUAAGUCAGAUGUGAAAUCCCCGGGCUCAACCUGGGAACUGCAUCUGAUACUGGCAAGCUUGAGUCUCGUAGAGGGGGGUAGAAUUCCAGGUGUAGCGGUGAAAUGC